UCGCUACUACCGAUUGAACGGCUUAAUGAGUUUCGAGGAUUUGGUGCUUCAGGGGUUCUCUCCUGCUGGACUGAAAAGCAGAUGCAAAUUUGGUCGUUUAGAGGAAGUAA
RNAcentral lists this ribosomal RNA (110 nucleotides) under uncultured eukaryote. RNAcentral describes it as "partial small subunit ribosomal RNA". The record is from RNAcentral.